UACAUGGGAUGCAAGUGUUAUCCGGAAUUAUUGGGCGUAAAGCGUCUGCAGGUGGAUAAAUAAGUCCUUUGUUAAAUCUCUGGGCUCAACUCAGAAUCUGCAAAAGAAACUAUUUAUCUUGAGUAUGGUAGAGGUAAGGGGAAUUUCCAGUGGAGCGGUGAAAUGCGUAGAUAUGGGGAAGAACAACAACAGCGAAGGCACCUUACGGGGCCAGUACUGACACUCAGAGACGAAAGCUAGGGGAGCAAACGGG
This 253-nucleotide ribosomal RNA is filed under the name uncultured bacterium. RNAcentral's name for it is "partial 16S ribosomal RNA". It matches the Rfam family "Bacterial small subunit ribosomal RNA", at positions 524 to 776 of the family's 1533-position model. The record is from RNAcentral.